Molecule: long non-coding RNA, 1107 nt
Organism: Mus musculus (house mouse)
Lineage: Eukaryota; Metazoa; Chordata; Mammalia; Rodentia; Muridae
Product: predicted gene, 51458
Exons: 2
Source: RefSeq, a predicted model, not a curated record
UGGAGCGCAGCUUCGAGCGGCGGGAGGAGCGCGCCUUCUGGGGCGGGAUUCAGGACAGGUUCGCGGGAGGGAGGAUCAGACGCUGAAGUCCUCUGCCCACUCUUGCUGUUAGCGGUGAGCUUUGGGAGCCACCCCCCACCCCCGGAAGCCUUCCAUGGGUCAGCCGGAGAUGGAGAUGGACCCGGCCUCAUGUCUACAGACACUUGCUGUGUAACCAAGGCACCUACCACAGAUUGCCCACAGGCUGGGCUUCCAGACAUCGCUGUCGCGGGGUUCAUUCGUGCACACUUGUAUCCAAACUUCAGCUGCCUUUCCCACCUGCCACUUAGCCACUUCCUGAGUUCCAGCUUCCCAGGUCUUCCGCCUCAUCACCUUGUCACAAACCAGUGUUCCUUGCAGUCUUAGCUGUUGCUACCAUUACCUCCUAUGCCACCCUUCCACAGGAGACUCCACACACUCUCGUUACCUGUGACCACUGUGUAGUCAGUCCCUGGCUGACUUCAGAUCCAAACCCUUCACCUUCAGCUUGGCAUUCAAGGCAGUUUGAAAUGUAGAUCCAGUCCCAGGCUGGCUGGUGCUAUUGAGAAAUGGAUUUCACCCCGGGCAGUCAAAGAGGGAACCAAUCUCAACAUUUGUCACCAUCUUUUUUUUUUUUUUUUUAAAGAUUUAUUUAUUUAUAUGUAAGUACACUGUCGCUGUCUUCAGACACACCAGAAGAGGGCAUCAGAUCUCAUUACAGAUGGUUGUGAGCCAUUUGUCACCAUCUUUUUUUUUUUUAAAGAUUUAUUUAUUUAUUAUAUGGAAGUACAUUGUAGCUGUCUUCAGACACUCCAGAAGAGGGAGUCAGAUCUCGUUAUGGAUGGUUGUGAGCCACCAUGUGGUUGCUGGGAUUUGAACUCUGGACCUUCGGAAGAGCAGUCGGGUGCUCUUACCCACUGAGCCAUCUCACCAGCCCCAUUUGUCACCAUCUUAACAAAGAAUAGGCCGACUGAAAUAUUGACCUAGCAGACAUCUACAGAACAUUCCAGCAAGUACUGCAGAGCACACAUUCUUUUCAGUAGCCCCUGGGACUUUCUCUAAAAUAAAUUACUGUUAGGAUGCAAGCAA